ACGGUUUUAACAAGACUUUAUGGUUAAUUUUUUUUAUAAAAGUAAAUUCAAAUUUUAAUAAAUAAAAAUAAUGAUUGUUAGUUAGUACUAAGUUUGGUCCACAUGUACACUCAUAUCUUUUCGAUGUAGUAUAAGGCACCUCUUAGUAAAACAAACUAGCAAUAGUAGCAAGUCCCUAUUGUAAACCACUAGGACACUCUUGCUAGCUUCUCAGUCAAAGCCAGCAAGUCCGCCCUUUUCUUUGCAGGUCUCUCGAGCACUUAGAGACAUUCUUCGAAUCUUUAACAUACAGGUGCACCAUACGGAAAAGACGCAAGAAGGAACGAGUUCUUGGGACUCCUACACUUGCUUGCGGUCGUCUGCCGCUAAUCGUUCCAUUGGAUUUCUGUUCUUACUAGUCCUUAAAGGCUUGUCCGCUGCCAGCAUAGCCAAGAACAUCGAAAACUGUUGGUCCGCCAUCGUCCUGACCGCCACCUGUCAUCCAUGAUCACAAGCCAAUUUCGUGGAAGUUAAAAUUUGGAUACAUGAUCCACAAAAUUAGGUAAAAUCUUAUCCAAAUAUGAUUUGAAUUUAUUGCCUAAUCCGCAACCGUAUAUGCUCUUUAAUUCUAUCUAUAAGGCUUUAGAUGAAAUUAUCGAUUAUGCUUUCGGAUUACACCCAUUAUCUCAAGUUUUGGUAUCCUUGAUAUUUUGAUCUUUAAGGUCAAAUAUCAAUUUCUUGAUUUUAUUCAUGGAAUUAUGGAUGAUUAGAUAUUGAUCUGUAUUUGAAUUGAUUGGAUGAUACCUUUGUGGAUUAACUGGUAUGAAUAUUUUGAUUGCUUUCUUAGUCUUCAAAAGAAACAAAAAGAUUGCAUUGCAUAUCAUGUAGAUUAAUUAGGUUAUAUUGCAUGUUUAAGUAGAUUCUGUAAAAUUCAAGAUAAGGAUUCUAAUUUAAAUUAGGAAUUUUUGCAUUGUUUAAUACGUAAAUUGAGCUAGAUAUUAUCUUUGUUCCAGGUGGUUAGUUUCCCUUAUUUUUAAUAAUGAAUUUCAAUAAAAAUUCCAAAAUUGUCACGUGCGUGUCAUAUGUAUUAGUUGCAUGUUAUCCAUGUACCUGCCAUGUCGUAUAGUUCAGGUUGAAAUUAAUGCAUGUCAUAAACGUGUGUCAUCUAGUAAUUGCCGAACAGUUUCGUUUAGUUAAAUUGCAUGUCAUGUAGAGUAGUUGCAUAUUAAUUAUUGGCCAUCAUUAUAAUUAGGCUAGAUAGUUAAAUUGCGUGACAUAUAGCUUAGUUUUCAUUUAAACAAGAGAAAAUCCAAAAAGAGAUCUAAGUAGAAUUGUGUGAUAACUAGAAACCAUAUUUAGGUUGGAUAUAUGUUUCUAAUUAAUAUUUGUCGUAUAUACUUACAUUGCUUUGGGGUAAGUGUUUUUUCCCUAUGCUUUCGAUUUACUUAUAGCUUGGCCUUAUUGAGUGUUCAAUAAUGGUUAUGCACCUACAUGAUCACCUUGUUAGCUAGAGAGAUGUUAAAUCAAUUCAAGUUGCCUUCUAAAUAUUUUAGAAAAUAAAAGAGAAAAUGUAUUGAAAGGAUGUUAGAGUAAUCUACCGUAAUCAAGUUCUUGAAUUCAUUUAAUCUUCGGUUCGUAGAAGAAAGGUAUACUUCUUGAUACUUUACUUGGCUAUCUAUCAUGCCCCGAUUCUCGGGCACACGCCUAUCCCUCAUCUUGGUCGAUUAAAAAUUUGCGAUAUCCCAGGAUGUAUCACUGACCCUUUCAUUUUCAUAUGCACAUGUGGAAGCAAUUAAAAAUCCCCAAACAAUAAAACAUUGGGAUAGAACAGUAGGACUAAAUUUCGAACUCUUAAAAACUUUCACUCUUAUAUACAAGGUGAUCUAUUAAAUUUAAUUCACAUUAAGCCAGUUUAAAAACAAGGUCUACAAGCAGAAGUGGGGUUCUACAAGCUAUGGGUCUCGUCCUCCUCUUCAUCAUCCUCCACACUCCAACUGGAGCCUUCAGCAGACUACACUGAACUUUCGAGAUCUUCAAAAUCCAAGUCUACUGCAUCUAGGGACUUGAAAUGGUUAUUUAAUAACCAAUGAAACAACGUCUUAGCAAGUUCUACCCCCUAAAACUCGUUUAGUAAAUUAAUACACCUUAGGGCUGCUUAUGCACAACACGAGUCAGAGGAUUUACCUUGGCCUCAGAGUUUGCCCUGCAUAUUAGCACAAAUCAAAUAGGCACCUAAGCAAUCAUAUCAAAGAUCGAUAUCUCGAUCAAUCGAGCUAGUCGAUUACCAAUAAACAAGACCACUCAUCAGUCAUUUCUAUUCAAUCAAUUAAUUCACAACAUCAUAUCAAAGCAAUGAUCAAUCGACCUAAUUGAUUACAUAUCCAUCAGACCAUACAUUCCCCACAAUGUAUAUCUAGUUGUCAAGCACACAUGACACAUGCAUUCUCUUAGGCACUAGUUCACCAAAGUCAUGUAUCAAAUCAUUGAGCUCAUGUGUCUCUUCCAAGAUGCCACACAUAAGUCCUUGGGCCCACGUCCAUUCUCUUAGGCACUCGCUUGCCAAAGUGAUGCAUCAAUUCACCGAGUUCACGUGCCCUUUUUACGAUGCCCAGGCCCACGUGCCUUCUCUUAGGUACUAGUUUACCAAAGUGACGCAUCAAAUCACUGAGCCCACGUGCCCUUUUAGAUGCCAUACUUAAUCAUUGGACCCACGUGCAUUCUCUUAGGCACCAAGUCUGCCAAAGUGAUGCAUCAAAUCACCGAGCCCACGUGUCCUUUUAGAUGUCAUACCGAAACAUUGGGCCCACGCGCAUUCUCUUAGGUACUAGUUCGCCAAAGUGAUGUAUCGGAUCACUGAGCCCACGUGCCCUUUUUAGAUGCCAAUACUUAAUCACCGAGCCAACGUACCAUUCUCCAGGUGAUUUACUUUCUACCAUGAUUCCACUAUGAAACAACUCCUUUCUCUAUAGAUCACCAGUCUACUAUCAAUACUGACCAUCGAUAUCCGAUCAUUUCCCAAUCAAAUAAUCAAAAACAACCAUUUAGGAAUAUAUCCUAAAAUUCCAUAUUUAAUUCAAUUCAGCACGAUUCAAAGCUCAAAUAAAUAAACGGAUUGCACCACGACAAUUAGCACGAAAUUGCAAUCACCGGCCAUCCUGGUUGAAUUUUCGGAAAAAUAAAUAAUUAAAUAAAUAAUUUCGAAAAUUAAAUAAAUAAACAUUAAAAAUCCAAUUUAGGCCCGUGAUACCUAAUUGGAACUCGAAACGGGUCGGGAAAACCCCGAGAUACAUUCAAUAAAUAUUAGAAUCUCUCUACUGGUUAAUGACUAAGUCCAACCACCUAACAUGCAUCAUUAAGUCACUAAUUUAAUUGUUCGAAACUAAUCUAAUCGCCUAAUUGCGCUUAAUUAAAUCUAAUCAACCCUUAGGUAUAAUUAGCAAACUAAGAAAGCAUUAGUGAGUAAAACUCACUUGGCAAAGUGAAGAUCGGAACAUUGCGAUGGCGAUGCAAUAGCGGUCGAAAUCCAAAUUUUUGGCAGCGUCGGCGGAUACUCGGGUCGGGCCAAAAAGCCUUGCAAGCCCCACAGAGAACUAUUGGGCUUGGAUUGCUGAAGUCUCAGGCCGAAUUGCUGAAUUAACGGGCUGAACUUCAAAGCCAAAGGUGGGCUUGAAACUUGAUGGAGAUGAUGGGCCGAACUUAUUGGAUCCUUGGGCUUCGCUGGAAAUGGGCUGAGCUGAAAACAAUUGCGAACUGGGCUGAGUUGCUGAAGAUGGGCUUGACAAAUUCGUGUGGGCUGAAGAAAAAAAAACUUUUGUGGACUGCUGCAGCUGAAGCCUCGGCUGGGCUUGACUUCAAUUGGGUCGUGCAAGAAGCAGCAAGGGCUGCUGACUGAAGAGCUGUUGGACUAGGUUUUGCUGGGCCGAAGAUCUGAAGAUGCUGGGCUGAAGAGGCCGAACUUUAGCCUGUCUCACACGGGCUAGAUGGACGCUGGCGCACGGAGGAAAAUGGAGGGCGACGCACGCGGUUUCGUUGGUCUUCGGUUGCUUCGUGCGCGGCAGCAAGGAAGGCCGCUCGGUGGAGAUUCGUGCGUUGCUGCUGCAGACUACGCGGACGAAGAAGCAGCUUGCUGUCUUCGAUGGGGAAAAACGACCGACCGUGCGAUGGGAGGAGAGAGAUCACGGGGCUGUGGUAUUCAGUGGAGCUGCAGUUAACCAAGGACGUGGCAGCAAGCGGUUGGACAGAAGACGUGUGGAUGGGGCAGGCGUCGGGGACGAAACGAAGAUGCUGAAGCUGAGCGUUGAAGACCUGCUGGGAUUGAAGAAACCGAAGGGAACAAACGUGAGUGGAGCAGGGGCAAGCUAGCAGGAGGAGUCAACUGCUAGGCUUUCGGUGGCUUGCUGUUGACCGUGAAAGAGCAGGCUGUGAACACGUAGAGAAGCAGACGUCGCUGGCAAGGGUCUUCGGUCAGCAAGGCUUCAUGAAAUUUUGAAGCCGCGUGGAGCUUCGGUCUUCGUGGGCAGAGAAGACUGAGAUGCUGGCUCAAGUGGGGUUUCGUUGAGUGGAGAGAGAUGAGGAGAGCAGCGAAGGAAAUUAAGGAAAUGAAAUUGAAGCAGAACUUGGUGGAGUCGGCCGUGAAGAUGAGGCGCACGAAGAGAUGAAAGACCGGCAAGCAAUGGUGCUCAAGUGGUCUUGCAAAAAGGGGCCCCAAAGUCAAUCAAGCUUAUCCCUAAAUUGAAUGCUUGGACUCGC
RNAcentral lists this long non-coding RNA (4728 nucleotides) under Eucalyptus grandis. RNAcentral's name for it is "long non-coding RNA (EGRA_LNC004191)". The record is from RNAcentral. Lineage: Eukaryota; Viridiplantae; Streptophyta; Magnoliopsida; Myrtales; Myrtaceae.